AUUGAACGCUGGCGGCAGGCCUAACACAUGCAAGUCGAGCGGAUGAAGGGAGCUUGCUCCUGGAUUCAGCGGCGGACGGGUGAGUAAUGCCUAGGAAUCUGCCUGGUAGUGGGGGAUAACGUCCGGAAACGGGCGCUAAUACCGCAUACGUCCUGAGGGAGAAAGUGGGGGAUCUUCGGACCUCACGCUAUCAGAUGAGCCUAGGUCGGAUUAGCUAGUUGGUGGGGUAAAGGCCUACCAAGGCGACGAUCCGUAACUGGUCUGAGAGGAUGAGCAGUCACACUAGAGCUGAGACACGGUCCAGACUCCUGCGGGAGGCAGCAGUGUGGAAUAUUGGACAAUGGGCGAAAGCCUUAUCCAGCCAUGCCGCGUGUGUGAAGAAGGUCUUCGGAUUGUAAAGCACUUUAAGUUGGGAGGAAGGGCAGUAAGUUAAUACCUUGCUGUUUUGACGUUACCAACAGAAUAAGCACCGGCUAACUUCGUG
This 484-nucleotide ribosomal RNA is filed under the name uncultured bacterium. Its description in RNAcentral is "partial 16S ribosomal RNA". It matches the Rfam family "Bacterial small subunit ribosomal RNA", at positions 30 to 507 of the family's 1533-position model. The record is from RNAcentral.